This 585-nucleotide ribosomal RNA is filed under the name uncultured archaeon. Its description in RNAcentral is "bacterial SSU rRNA". It matches the Rfam family "Archaeal small subunit ribosomal RNA", at positions 348 to 933 of the family's 1478-position model. The record is from RNAcentral.
CUUGGCAAUGUGCGAAAGCACGACAAGGUUAAUCCGAGUGUCUCCUGCUAAAGGAGUCUUUUGUCAANUUGUAGAAUCACUGGUGAAUAAGGGGUGGNCAAGUUCUGGUGUCAGCCGCCGCGGUAAAACCAGCACCUCGAGUGGUCAGGAGGCUUAUUGGGCCUAAAGCAUCCGUAGCCGNUUGCAUAAGUUUUCGGUUAAAUCUAUGCGCUUAACGUAUAGGCCGCCGAAAAUACUGUGCAGCUAGGGAGUGGGAGAGGUACACGGUACUCGAUAGGAAGGGGUAAAAUCCUUUGAUCUAUUGAAGACCACCUGUGGCGAAGGCGGUGUACCAGAACACGUUCGACGGUGAGGGAUGAAAGCUGGGGGAGCAAACCGGAUUAGAUACCCGGGUAGUCCCAGCUGUAAACGAUGCAGACUCGGUGAUGCAUUGGCUUGUGGCCAAUGCAGUGCCGCAGGGAAGCCGUUAAGUCUGCCGCCUGGGAAGUACGUACGCAAGUAUGAAACUUAAAGGAUUGGCGGGGGAGCACCACAAGGGGUGAGGCCUGCGGUUCAAUUGGAGUCACGACGGAUUAGAUGCAUUGG